Molecule: long non-coding RNA, 242 nt
Filed under: Capsicum annuum
Lineage: Eukaryota; Viridiplantae; Streptophyta; Magnoliopsida; Solanales; Solanaceae
Description: long non-coding RNA (CANN_LNC008799)
Source: RNAcentral
GUUUUCAUAGUUGAUGCAACAGUUUCGGAACUUUGAGGAUUCCGAUGAUUUUUGAAGUUGUCAACAAUGGUUGAAUUUUUUAUUUUUCGGAAAGUUUGGGUAUGUUUUUUUUUGUCAACAAUGAUUGAACUGUUCUUGUUUUUUUGAAAGUUUGAAAUUGUCAGCAAUGUUUGAUUCUUGAGGUUGUCGAUUUUGAGCUUGUCGGUGAUUUUGUGAUUUCCGUCGAAGAUGCCGUGAAGCCG